UGCCCAACAGCUAGCCCCCCCCCCAAAACUAACCCCCUCCCAUUAAUAACCCCUAAAUACACCCGUAUUUAAAAAACAAACCAUUUUUUCCCCUCAGUACAGGAGAUAGAAAAGGAUCAAAGGCGCAAUAGAGAAAGUACCGUAAGGGAACACUGAAAGAGAAAUGAAACAACCCAGUAAAGCCUAUAAAAGCAGAGCUCCCCGCUCGUACCUUUUGCAUCAUGAUUUAGUAAGUGUACCCCAGGCAAAGAGUACUUUAGUCUGACACCCCGAAACUUUGUGAGCUACUCCAAGGCAGCCUAUUAAUAGGGCAUACCCGUCUCUGUUGCAAAAGAGUGGGGAGACCUUUGAGUAGAGGUGACACGCCUACCGAACUCAGUUAUAGCUGGUUGCCCAAUAAAUGGAUAGAAGUUCAGCCUCCUGGCUUCUCAUUUCAUCCCCUGGGUUACACCCCUGCUGAUAAUAAGAAACCAAGAGAGUUAGUCAAAGGGGGUACAGCCCCUUUGAAGAAAGACACAACUUUGCCAGAUGGGUAAAGAUCAUA
Molecule: ribosomal RNA, 544 nt
Filed under: Orthonopias triacis
Lineage: Eukaryota; Metazoa; Chordata; Actinopteri; Perciformes; Cottidae
Description: partial 16S ribosomal RNA
Rfam family: Bacterial large subunit ribosomal RNA
Source: RNAcentral